Molecule: long non-coding RNA, 1159 nt
Organism: Anarrhichthys ocellatus (wolf-eel)
Lineage: Eukaryota; Metazoa; Chordata; Actinopteri; Perciformes; Anarhichadidae
Exons: 2
Source: RefSeq, a predicted model, not a curated record
CACACACACACACACACACACACACACAAUAGAAGCACUAGAAUAUCCACAAAUACGAAGGCAAACAGAAAGACUCACAAAACACAAACACACAUUCAACCUCUUGGCGUGCAGCUUCCCUCUCAGUUUUAAGACUUUAAAAGUAUCCGAGUACUUCUAAUAUUUCAUGUAUCCGCUCGUUCCAAGUCUUGAUUGAAGCUCCAUAAUUAUUACGCUACGUAAAAUAUUUAAACUCAAUAUACGGCCUUAUUUUUGGGCUGUACUGUUUUAUCAAAAGCAAAAUAUUCUACAUGCUUUGCACAUCAUUUUAAACACCUUUGUUCUAAAUCCAUCUUGACAUAUCUGUUAUUUCAUAUCCUCAUUUUCAACCAUGUGCGUCCAAAAACGUUACUUUUCAGGAAGAAAAACAACUCUUCUAAAUGCUUUGCGUUGGUUAAAUAUGUGUGAAACGCACAGAUGGAUUGAGUGAGUGACUAAUAGCAUCGCUUUAUGAAGAGGAAAAGCAGGCAAACUCUGGAGAUAUGAGGAUGGCCACGUGAGGACACUUUCUGUGGGGACUCCCGCUGGAACCAGACUGAGCGCGUGCAGACCAACAGGUAAGCUGAACACGACACACUCCAAAUGAAAUGAGUCCUCAGAGAUCGUUACAGGACGGCUGUGUGAGGUUCAUGAACACUGAGGGAAACCCAGCGACUUGUUUCGGGGCCAAGAAUGUUCCUGAAAAGCUUGUUUUCCACAUAUCUUCUUUAUGCGCGUAACGUGAAUACAUCUUACAUGUACAGGAUGAUUCAGAGCUGUAUCCUUAAACUUUGGAUGCUCUCCAUGCAGCUCGGGAGUAUUUUCCACUCGGUGGAACAUUUAGAAUUGAAUGCAGCGUUUCAAAACAACAUAAAUCCAAAUGAUAGAAAUGUGCACGGAAGGGAAUAUUCUAUGAAGGUUACACAUGGGAGCACGGGGCUCCUUCUUAUCUGUUUAUUUUAUUAUAUAUAUAUAUACUGUUGUGGUUAUACUUGUUUCGCUGGUAUUUGGGGUAUUUUUCUUCAUUGUGGAAUAUCUCCAGCUGGUUUCUGAACUGGGCCGACUGAUUUCCUGAGAAAAAGAAUCCGGGAUCAAGUCAAGAUAGGGACAAACAGCAGGAGAGGACAGAAUGUCAAUGUGA